RNAcentral lists this ribosomal RNA (484 nucleotides) under uncultured bacterium. RNAcentral's name for it is "partial 16S ribosomal RNA". It matches the Rfam family "Bacterial small subunit ribosomal RNA", at positions 30 to 507 of the family's 1533-position model. The record is from RNAcentral.
AUUGAACGCUGGCGGCAGGCCUAACACAUGCAAGUCGAGCGGAUGAAGGGAGCUUGCUCCUGGAUUCAGCGGCGGACGGGUGAGUAAUGCCUAGGAAUCUGCCUGGUAGUGGGGGAUAACGUCCGGAAACGGGCGCUAAUACCGCAUACGUCCUGAGGGAGAAAGUGGGGGAUCUUCGGACCUCACGCUCUCAGAUGAGCCUAGGUCGGAUUAGCUAGUUGGUGGGGUAAAGGCCUACCAAGGCGACGAUCCGUAACUGGUCUGAGAGGAUGAUCAGUCACACUGGAACUGAGACACGGUCCAGACUCCUACGGGAGGCAGCAGUGGGGAAUAUUGGACAGUGGGCGAAAGCCUGAUCCAGCCAUGCCGCGUGUGUGAAGAAGGUCUUCGGAUUGUAAAGCACUUUAAGUUGGGAGGAAGGGCAGUAAGUUAAUACCUUGCUGUUUUGACGUUACCAACAGAAUAAGCACCGGCUAACUUCGUG